Molecule: ribosomal RNA, 491 nt
Filed under: Scinax sp. 7 MF-2016
Lineage: Eukaryota; Metazoa; Chordata; Amphibia; Anura; Hylidae
Description: partial 16S ribosomal RNA
Rfam family: Bacterial large subunit ribosomal RNA
Source: RNAcentral
UCACUUGUUCUUUAAAUGGGGACUAGUAUGAACGGCAUCACGAGGGUUAUACUGUCUCCUCCCUCCAAUCAGUGAAACUAAUCUCCCCGUGAAGAAGCGGGGAUAAAUUUAUAAGACGAGAAGACCCUAUGGAGCUUCAAACUUCCCUUCAAACAUCAUUCUAACUUCACAAGUCACAGACUUUCCUUAUUUAUCCUGAUGUAAUGUAGACAAGUUUUAGGUUGGGGUGACCGCGGAGUACAAAAAAACCUCCACGCUGAACAUAGGCCUCUAAACCUUGAACGAAGGACCACAGCCCGAUGUACUAAUAAAUUAACACUCAUUGACCCAAUAUAUUUUUGACCAACGAACCAAGUUACCCUAGGGAUAACAGCGCAAUCCCCUUCAAGAGUCCUUAUCGACAAGGGGGUUUACGACCUCGAUGUUGGAUCAGGGUAUCCCAGUGGUGCAGCCGCUACUAAUGGUUCGUUUGUUCAACGAUUAAAACCCUA